This 1428-nucleotide ribosomal RNA is filed under the name uncultured prokaryote. Its description in RNAcentral is "partial 16S ribosomal RNA". It matches the Rfam family "Bacterial small subunit ribosomal RNA". The record is from RNAcentral.
AGAGUUUGAUCAUGGCUCAGAUUGAACCAUCAGAUUGAACGCUGGCGGCAGGCUUAACACAUGCAAGUCGAGCGGAAACGAAGAUAGCUUGCUAUCAGGCGUCGAGCGGCGGACGGGUGAGUAACGCGUAGGAAUCUACCUAAUAGUGGGGGAUAGCCCAGAGAAGUUUGGAUUAAUACCGCAUACGCCCUACGGGGGAAAGGAGGGGAUCUUCGGACCUUUCGCUAUCAGAUGAGCCUGCGUGAGAUUAGCUAGUUGGUGGGGUAAAGGCUCACCAAGGCGACGAUCUCUAGCUGGUCUGAGAGGAUGAUCAGCCACACUGGGACUGAGACACGGCCCAGACUCCUACGGGAGGCAGCAGUGGGGAAUAUUGGACAAUGGGCGCAAGCCUGAUCCAGCCAUGCCGCGUGUGUGAAGAAGGCCUGCGGGUUGGUAAGCUCUUUCAGCGAGGAGGAAAGGUUGCCGCUUAAUACGCGGUAGCUGUGACGUUACUCGCAGAAGAAGGACCGGCUAACUCUGUGCCAGCAGCCGCGGUAAUACAGAGGGUGCAAGCGUUAAUCGGAAUUACUGGGCGUAAAGCGCGCGUAGGCGGUUAGAUCAGUCAACUGUGAAAGCCCUGGGCUCAACCUGGGAACUGCAGCUGAUAACUGGCAAACUAGAGUUCUUGAGAGGGUGGUAGAAUUUCAGGUGUAGUGGUGGAAUGCGUAGAUAUCUGGAGGAACACCAGUGGCGAAGGCGGCCACCUGGCAAGUAACUGACGCUCAGAUGCGAAAGCGUGGGUAGCAAACGGGAUUAGAUACCCCGGUAGUCCACGCCGUAAACGAUGUCUACUCGGAGUUUGGUUCCUUGAGAACUGGGCUCUUAAGCCUUAAGCUAACGCAUUAAGUAGACCGCCUGGGGAGUACGGCCGCAAGGUUAAAACUCAAAUGAAUUGACGGGGGCCCGCACAAGCGGUGGAGCAUGUGGUUUAAUUCGAUGCAACGCGAAGAACCUUACCUACUCUUGACAUCCACAGAACUUUCCAGAGAUGGAUUGGUGCCUUCGGGAACUGUGAGACAGGUGCUGCAUGGCUGUCGUCAGCUCGUGUUGUGAAAUGUUGGGUUAAGUCCCGUAACGAGCGCAACCCUUGCCCUUAUUUGCCAGCACGUAAUGGUGGGAACUCUAAGGAGAUGCCGGUGACAAACCGGAGGAAGGUGGGGAUGACGUCAAGUCAUCAUGGCCCUUACGAGCGGGGCUACACACGUGCUACAAUGGCCAGGACAAACGGUUGCAACCCCGCGAGGGUGAGCUAAUCCGAGAAACCUGGUCGUAGUCCGGAUCGCAGUCUGCAACUCGAGACUGCGUGAAGUCGGAAUCGCUAGUAAUCGUGAAUCAGAAUGUCACGGUGAAUACGUUCACGGGCCUUGUACACACCGCCCGUCACACCAU